Molecule: long non-coding RNA, 1584 nt
Filed under: Ananas comosus (pineapple)
Lineage: Eukaryota; Viridiplantae; Streptophyta; Magnoliopsida; Poales; Bromeliaceae
Description: long non-coding RNA (ACOM_LNC021977)
Source: RNAcentral
UAGGGGUGGAAACGAGCCGAGCUCGAGCGAGCUUAUGUCAGCUCAAAUUCGGCUUGAAAUUAAUUUCGAGCUUAAAUCUAGGCUCAAGCUCGGCUUGAAAUUAAUUCGAGCCGAGCUCGAGCGAGCCUAAUUUCGAGUCGAGCCGAGCUCGAGCUCUAAACGAGCCGAUUGAAAUUCUCGACAUUAUAUAAUCAAUAGUUUAAUUUUUAUAGAACAUUACCUAUAAUUUGAUGCAACAUGUUCAAUAGUUCAAAAUACAAAAUAAUUGUAAGAAAUGUGAGCUAGGGUGACUGCCUGACUGGGUGAGGGUCAGAGAGAGAGAGAGAGAGAGGAAAAAAAAUUAGGGAUUUGAGAAUUUGAAUGUUAUCAUGUUUUAGGGUUAUGUGCAACAGUGAAAGUCUGAAAGAGAGAGUGUGUUAUGUAAAUUUAGAGUUGGGCUCAAUUGCACGGUUGUACUUGUUGGGUUUAUUUUAUGGGCCAACAAUAAUGGCCCAAAUUAAAUUAAAACCUAUAUAUAAUUAAAAUACAUUAUAUAUAUAUAUAUAUAUUCGAGCUUUUCGAGCUUUUCGAGCCUAAUUCGAACGAGCCGAGUAAUACUCAAGCUCGGCUUGAAAUGAAUUUCGAGCCUUUUAUUUUGUUCAAGCUCGGCUCAUUUAAUUUCGAGUCGAGCUCGAGCGAGCCAAAUAUCGAGCCGAACACGAGUCGAACGCGAGCCGGCUCGCUCGUUUGCCAGCCCUACUUUUAUGCGGUGGUCAUGCCACAUUACCUAUAUUCUAACCAAUUAAAUCUCUCUUUUCAAAAUAAAAGUAUUAUAAUAAAAAUAUAUUUUCAAAAACCAUGGUGAGAUAGAUAAAUCUUAGAAACCAAACAUGUUUCUUUGGAGAUACCAUAUUAUUUAUAUAACUGUUAUAUUUUAAAAUUUCUUAGAAUUAGAAUAUAUGUUUAAAUAGAAAAAUAUAUAAAUACUGUUCUCUAAAAGCUUAAAUUUUUAGAGUAUAAUAAUUAUUUUAUAUAGUAUCAGAGUAGAAGGUGCCGAAUUCGAGUCGCGUUAGACUCCUAAUAUUAUUAAUUUUCUUCUAUUUAAUUUAAGUCCACAUCACGGGCUUUGUGAAAAGUCUCGAGGCUAAACGUGACUAUGUGAAGGGGAGUGUUAAAUAGAAAAAUAUGUAAAUAUCAUUCUUUAAUAGCUUAAGCUUUUACCGUUUGGUUCGGGGUUAAGGAAAAACUAGUUAUUCCAGGAAUAGAGUUAAGUUCAAGAUUAAGGUGGGGUUAGAGUAUUUUUGUAUUUGGUUGGGGAUUGGAGUUAGUCCAGGAUAGUGAAAAAUAGUAUUUGGUUGGAGUAGAUGGGAUAAGAAGGAUAGUGGAUUAUUAUGAAUAUAAAAUAGUAUUUGGUUCGGGUUUGAUGGAAUUAGGUGGGGUUAGCUCUAACCCCACCCAAAAUGGACUAUUCCGGAUUAGGUGGGAUUAGCUAACCCCACCCAUUUUUGAAGGUAUUUGGAAAUAAUAUAGGAGUUAAGAGGUUAUUCCACCCCUUAAUCCCCAACCAAACAAAUUAGAAUACAAAGAUUGUUUCAAAGUCUGAGU